UACGUAGGGGGCAAGCGUUGUCCGGAUUUAUUGGGCGUAAAGAGCGUGUAGGCGGCCAGGUAGGUCAGCUGUGAAAACUCGAGGCUCAACCUCGAGACGCCGGUUGUAACCAUCUGGCUAGAGUCCGGAAGAGGAGAGUGGAAUUCCUGGUGUAGCGGUGAAAUGCGCAGAUAUCAGGAAGAACACCCGUGGCUAAGGCGGCUCUCUAGUACGGUACUGACGCUGAGACGCGAAAGCGUGGGGAGCAAACAGG
Molecule: ribosomal RNA, 253 nt
Filed under: uncultured bacterium
Lineage: Bacteria
Description: partial 16S ribosomal RNA
Rfam family: Bacterial small subunit ribosomal RNA
Source: RNAcentral